UACGGAGGAUUCGAGCGUUAUCCGGAUUUAUUGGGUUUAAAGGGUGCGCAGGCGGGGGAUUAAGUCGGCGGUGAAAUUUUGCAGCUCAACUGUAAAAGUGCCUUCGAAACUGGUUUCCUUGAGCGUAGAUGAAGUAGGCGGAAUUUGUGGUGUAGCGGUGAAAUGCAUAGAUAUCACGAGGAACUCCGAUUGCGCAGGCAGCUUACUAAACCACUACUGACGCUCAGGCACGAAGGCGUGGGGAUCAAACAGGAUUAGAUACCCGGGUAGUCCCU
This 275-nucleotide ribosomal RNA is filed under the name uncultured prokaryote. RNAcentral's name for it is "partial 16S ribosomal RNA". It matches the Rfam family "Bacterial small subunit ribosomal RNA", at positions 524 to 798 of the family's 1533-position model. The record is from RNAcentral.